CAGCCGCCGCGGUAAUACGGAGGGCGCGAGCGUUGUCCGGAUUCACUGGGCGUAAAGCGGGUGUAGGCGGUCGGGUAAGUCGGGCGUGAAAUCCCGGGGCUUAACCUCGGGUUUGCGUUCGAUACUUGGUGGCUGGAGUGCGGGAGAGGGAAGUGGAAUUCCCGGUGUAGCGGUGAAAUGCGUAGAUAUCGGGAGGAACGCCGGUGGCGAAGGCGGCUUCCUGGCCCGUUACUGACGCUGAGGCACGAAAGCCAGGGGAGCGAACCGGAUUAGAUACCCGGGUAGUCCUGGCUGUAAACCAUGGGCGCUAGGUGUGGGUGGUGGUGAGCCAUCUGUGCCGAAGCUAACGCGUUAAGCGCCCCGCCUGGGGAGUACGGUCGCAAGGCUGAAACUUAAAGGAAUUGGCGGG
This 409-nucleotide ribosomal RNA is filed under the name uncultured microorganism. RNAcentral's name for it is "bacterial SSU rRNA". It matches the Rfam family "Bacterial small subunit ribosomal RNA", at positions 509 to 917 of the family's 1533-position model. The record is from RNAcentral.